UACGAAGGGUGCAAGCGUUACUCGGAAUUACUGGGCGUAAAGCGUGCGUAGGUGGUCGUUUAAGUCUGUCGUGAAAGCCCUGGGCUCAACCUGUGAAUUGCGAUGGAUACUGGGCGACUAGAGUGUGGUAGAGGAUAGUGGAAUUUCCGGUGUAGCAGUGAAAUGCGUAGAGAUCGGAAGGAACAUCUGUGGCGAAGGCGACUAUCUGGGCCAACACUGACACUGAGGCACGAAAGCGUGGGGAGCAAACAGG
This 253-nucleotide ribosomal RNA is filed under the name uncultured bacterium. RNAcentral describes it as "partial 16S ribosomal RNA". It matches the Rfam family "Bacterial small subunit ribosomal RNA", at positions 524 to 776 of the family's 1533-position model. The record is from RNAcentral.